RNAcentral lists this ribosomal RNA (494 nucleotides) under uncultured bacterium. RNAcentral's name for it is "partial 16S ribosomal RNA". It matches the Rfam family "Bacterial small subunit ribosomal RNA", at positions 28 to 507 of the family's 1533-position model. The record is from RNAcentral.
GACGAACGCUGGCGGCGUGCUUAACACAUGCAAGUCGAACGGUGAAGCGCCUUCCUUUUUGGUGGGUGUGGAUGAGUGGCGAACGGGUGAGUAACACGUGAGUAACCUGCCCCCUUCUUCUGGAUAACCGCAUGAAAGUGUGGCUAAUACGGGAUAUUCUGGGUCUGUCGCAUGAUGGGUCUGGGAAAGAUAUUGUUUCGGUGGGGGAUGGGCUCGCGGCCUAUCAGCUUGUUGGUGGGGUGAUGGCCUACCAAGGCGGUGACGGGUAGCCGGCCUGGGAGGGUGGACGGUCUCACUGGGACUGCGGCACGGCCCGGACUGCGACGGGGGGCAGCAGUGGGGAAUAUUGCACAGUGGGCGCAAGCCUGAUGCAGCGGCGCCGCGGGAGGGAUGGAGGCCUUCGGGUUGUGAACCUCUUUCGCCAGUGAAGCAGGCCUGCCUCGUUUGUGGGUGGGUUGACGGUAGCUGGAUAAGAAGCGCCGGCUAACUACGUG